GGGAGUGCGGCAGCUACACAUGCAGUCGAGCGGUAGCACAGAGAGCUUGCUCUCGGGUGACGAGCGGCGGACGGGUGAGUAAUGUCUGGGAAACUGCCUGAUGGAGGGGGAUAACUACUGGAAACGGUAGCUAAUACCGCAUAACGUCGCAAGACCAAAGUGGGGGACCUUCGGGCCUCAUGCCAUCAGAUGUGCCCAGAUGGGAUUAGCUGGUAGGUGGGGUAACGGCUCACCUAGGCGACGAUCCCUAGCUGGUCUGAGAGGAUGACCAGCCACACUGGAACUGAGACACGGUCCAGACUCCUACGGGAGGCAGCAGUGGGGAAUAUUGCACAAUGGGCGCAAGCCUGAUGCAGCCAUGCCGCGUGUGUGAAGAAGGCCUUCGGGUUGUAAAGCACUUUCAGCGGGGAGGAAGGCGGUGAGGUUAAUAACCUCAUCGAUUGACGUUACCCGCAGAAGAAGCACCGGCUAACUCCGUGCCAGCAGCCGCGGUAAUACGGAGGGUGCAAGCGUUAAUCGGAAUUACUGGGCGUAAAGCGCACGCAGGCGGUCUGUCAAGUCGGAUGUGAAAUCCCCGGGCUCAACCUGGGAACUGCAUUCGAAACUGGCAGGCUAGAGUCUUGUAGAGGGGGGUAGAAUUCCAGGUGUAGCGGUGAAAUGCGUAGAGAUCUGGAGGAAUACCGGUGGCGAAGGCGGCCCCCUGGACAAAGACUGACGCUCAGGUGCGAAAGCGUGGGGAGCAAACAGGAUUAGAUACCCUGGUAGUCCACGCUGUAAACGAUGUCGAUUUGGAGGUUGUGCCCUUGAGGCGUGGCUUCCGGAGCUAACGCGUUAAAUCGACCGCCUGGGGAGUACGGCCGCAAGGUUAAAACUCAAAUGAAUUGACGGGGGCCCGCACAAGCGGUGGAGCAUGUGGUUUAAUUCGAUGCAACGCGAAGAACCUUACCUGGUCUUGACAUCCACAGAACUUUCCAGAGAUGGAUUGGUGCCUUCGGGAACUGUGAGACAGGUGCUGCAUGGCUGUCGUCAGCUCGUGUUGUGAAAUGUUGGGUUAAGUCCCGCAACGAGCGCAACCCUUAUCCUUUGUUGCCAGCGGUUAGGCCGGGAACUCAAAGGAGACUGCCAGUGAUAAACUGGAGGAAGGUGGGGAUGACGUCAAGUCAUCAUGGCCCUUACGACCAGGGCUACACACGUGCUACAAUGGCAUAUACAAAGAGAAGCGACCUCGCGAGAGCAAGCGGACCUCAUAAAGUAUGUCGUAGUCCGGAUUGGAGUCUGCAACUCGACUCCAUGAAGUCGGAAUCGCUAGUAAUCGUAGAUCAGAAUGCUACGGUGAAUACGUUCCCGGGCCUUGUACACACCGCCCGUCACACCAUGGGAGUGGGUUGCAAAAGAAGUAGGUAGCUUAACCUUCGGGAGGGCGCUUACCACUUUGUAUCAUGCCU
RNAcentral lists this ribosomal RNA (1445 nucleotides) under uncultured Klebsiella sp. Its description in RNAcentral is "bacterial SSU rRNA". It matches the Rfam family "Bacterial small subunit ribosomal RNA". The record is from RNAcentral. Lineage: Bacteria; Pseudomonadati; Pseudomonadota; Gammaproteobacteria; Enterobacterales; Enterobacteriaceae.